UACGUAGGGUGCGAGCGUUGUCCGGAAUUAUUGGGCGUAAAGAGCUCGUAGGCGGUGUGUCGCGUCGGCCGUGAAAACCUGCAGCUUAACUGUGGGCUUGCGGUCGAUACGGGCAUCACUGGAGUUCGGCAGGGGAGACUGGAAUUCCUGGUGUAGCGGUGAAAUGCGUAGAUAUCGAGAGGAACACCUGCGGCGAAGGCGGGUUGCUGGGCCGACACUGACGCUGAUGCGCGAAAGCCAGGGGAGCGAACGGG
RNAcentral lists this ribosomal RNA (254 nucleotides) under uncultured bacterium. RNAcentral describes it as "partial 16S ribosomal RNA". It matches the Rfam family "Bacterial small subunit ribosomal RNA", at positions 524 to 776 of the family's 1533-position model. The record is from RNAcentral.